Molecule: ribosomal RNA, 1479 nt
Filed under: metagenome
Description: bacterial SSU rRNA
Rfam family: Bacterial small subunit ribosomal RNA
Source: RNAcentral
AGAGUUUGAUCCUGGCUCAGGAUGAACGCUAGCGGCAGGCCUAACACAUGCAAGUCGAGGGGUAACAGAGAGUGCUUGCACUUUGCUGACGACCGGCCCACGGGUGCGUAACGCGUAUACAAUCUACCUUUUGCUGAGGGAUAGCCCAGAGAAAUUUGGAUUAAUACCUCAUGGUAUAUAGAAUUGGCAUCAAUUUUAUAUUAAAGGUUACGGCAAAAGAUGAGUAUGCGUCCUAUUAGUUAGUUGGUGUGGUAACGGCACACCAAGACAGCGAUAGGUAGGGGCCCUGAGAGGGGGAUCCCCCACACUGGUACUGAGACACGGACCAGACUCCUACGGGAGGCAGCAGUGAGGAAUAUUGGGCAAUGGAGGCAACUCUGACCCAGCCAUGCCGCGUGCAGGAAGACUGCCCUAUGGGUUGUAAACUGCUUUUAUACAGGAAGAAACGCUUCUACGUGUAGAGGUUUGACGGUACUGUAAGAAUAAGGAUCGGCUAACUCCGUGCCAGCAGCCGCGGUAAUACGGAGGAUCCAAGCGUUAUCCGGAAUCAUUGGGUUUAAAGGGUCCGUAGGUGGAUAAUUAAGUCAGAGGUGAAAUCCUGCAGCUCAACUGUAGAAUUGCCUUUGAUACUGGUUAUCUUGAGUCAUUAUGAAGUGGUUAGAAUGUGUAGUGUAGCGGUGAAAUGCAUAGAUAUUACACAGAAUACCGAUUGCGAAGGCAGAUCACUAAUAAUGUACUGACACUGAUGGACGAAAGCGUGGGAGCGAACAGGAUUAGGUACCCUGGUAGUCCACGCCGUAAACAAUGGUCACUAGCUGUGUGGAUUUCGAUCUGCGUGGCUAAGCGAAAGUGAUAAGUGACCCACCUGGGGAGUACGUUCGCAAGAAUGAAACUCAAAGGAAUUGACGGGGGCCCGCACAAGCGGCGGAGCAUGUGGUUUAAUUCGAUGAUACGCGAGGAACCUUACCAGGGCUUAAAUGUAGAGUGACAGGUCUAGAGAUAGAUUUUUCUUCGGACACUUUACAAGGUGCUGCAUGGUUGUCGUCAGCUCGUGCCGUGAGGUGUCAGGUUAAGUCCUAUAACGAGCGCAACCCCUGUUGUUAGUUGCCAGCGAAUAAAGUCGGGAACUCUAACAAGACUGCCGGUGCAAACCGCGAGGAAGGUGGGGAUGACGUCAAAUCAUCACGGCCCUUACGUCCUGGGCUACACACGUGCUACAAUGGUAGGUACAGAGAGCAGCCACUACGCGAGUAGGAGCGAAUCUAUAAAACCUAUCACAGUUCGGAUCGGAGUCUGCAACUCGACUCCGUGAAGCUGGAAUCGCUAGUAAUCGGAUAUCAGCCAUGAUCCGGUGAAUACGUUCCCGGGCCUUGUACACACCGCCCGUCAAGCCAUGGAAGUUGGGAGUGCCUGAAGUCCGUCACCGAGAGGAGCGGCCUAGGGUAAAAUCGAUAACUAGGGCUAAGUCGUAACAAGGUA